Molecule: ribosomal RNA, 494 nt
Filed under: Salmonella enterica subsp. enterica serovar Telelkebir
Lineage: Bacteria; Pseudomonadati; Pseudomonadota; Gammaproteobacteria; Enterobacterales; Enterobacteriaceae
Description: partial 23S ribosomal RNA
Rfam family: Bacterial large subunit ribosomal RNA
Source: RNAcentral
CUGCGAUAAGCGCCGGUAAGGUGAUAUGAACCGUUAUAACCGGCGAUACCCGAAUGGGGAAACCCAGUGUGAUUCGUCACACUAUCAUUAACUGAAUCCAUAGGUUAAUGAGGCGAACCGGGGGAACUGAAACAUCUAAGUACCCCGAGGAAAAGAAAUCAACCGAGAUUCCCCCAGUAGCGGCGAGCGAACGGGGAGGAGCCCAGAGCCUGAAUCAGCAUGUGUGUUAGUGGAAGCGUCUGGAAAGGCGCGCGAUACAGGGUGACAGCCCCGUACACAAAAGCGCAUGUGCUGUGAGCUCGAUGAGUAGGGCGGGACACGUGGUAUCCUGUCUGAAUAUGGGGGGACCAUCCUCCAAGGCUAAAUACUCCUGACUGACCGAUAGUGAACCAGUACCGUGAGGGAAAGGCGAAAAGAACCCCGGCGAGGGGAGUGAAAAAGAACCUGAAACCGUGUACGUACAAGCAGUGGGAGCACCCUUCGGGGUGUGACUG